This 430-nucleotide ribosomal RNA is filed under the name Spirosoma sp. F168. Its description in RNAcentral is "bacterial SSU rRNA". It matches the Rfam family "Bacterial small subunit ribosomal RNA", at positions 118 to 546 of the family's 1533-position model. The record is from RNAcentral. Lineage: Bacteria; Pseudomonadati; Bacteroidota; Cytophagia; Cytophagales; Cytophagaceae.
UAAGCAACCUGCCCCAUACCGGGGGAUAGCCUGGCGAAAGCCGGGGUAAACCCGCAUAGUCCCUUUCUGUUUCAUGACAGGCUGGGUAAACAUUUAUGGGUAUGGGAGGGGCUUGCGUCUGAUUAGUUAGUUGGCGGGGUAACGGCCCACCAAGACAGUGAUCAGUAGGGGUUCUGAGAGGAUUGGCCCCCACAUGGGUACUGAGAUACGGACCCAACUCCUACGGGAGGCAGCAGUAGGGAAUAUUGGGCAAUGGAGGCAACUCUGACCCAGCCAUGCCGCGUGCAGGAUGAAGGCGCUCAGCGUCGUAAACUGCUUUUAUCUGGGAAGAACUGUAGUCCUGCGGGGUUAUUUGACGGUACCAAAGGAAUAAGCACCGGCUAACUCCGUGCCAGCAGCCGCGGUAAUACGGAGGGUGCAAGCGUUGUCC